RNAcentral lists this long non-coding RNA (2617 nucleotides) under Zea mays. RNAcentral describes it as "drought responsive lncRNA". Lineage: Eukaryota; Viridiplantae; Streptophyta; Magnoliopsida; Poales; Poaceae. The record is from RNAcentral.
UAGUAUCCCAAGCUACUUCUGGAACUGGUAAUGGUUGUAAUUUUCCAGGGUAUGCUGUUCGGUCCGGUUUAGCCUGAAGACAGAUUUGGCACUGCUGAAUGAAAGUAUGAAUGAAUUGUUUCAUAUUUUUCCAAGCGAACAGUUGUUUGAUGCGGCUGUAAGUAACCGGGAUACCUGAAUGUCCACCCACCGCCGAACAGUGAAGAGCAGUUACAAUACGAGUAUGAAGCUGUGCAUCAUCACCAAUCCACACACGUCCUUUGUAACGCAAGAGUCCAUUGUCCAAAACAAAAUGAGGGACUGCAUUAGGGUCCACAGACAGCUUAGUGAGCAUAGACUGUGUUGCAGAAUCACUGGCAUAGCUGGAUUGCACAUCCUGCAACCAUUGGGGAACCACAACUGAUAUAGCCUGGAUAGAAGAUUGAGCACAUCUGGAUAGUGCAUCAGCCACUCGAUUUUCAGAACCGGAUCUGUAAUGGAUUUUAUAUUGUAGCCCCAAGAGUUUCGUAAAGACCUUAUGCUGCCAGGGUGUAUGAAGGCGUUGUUCGUUAAGUUGGGAGAGACUUUUGUGAUCAGUGACAAUAAUGAAUUCAGCGUGUUGAAGAUAAGCUCUCCAAUGUUGAACCGCUACAAUGAGUGCCAUGUACUCUUUUUCAUAAGUGGAUAAACCACGCGACUUGGGGCCCAAUGACUUGCUGAGAAAUGCUAAGGGGUGUCCUUUUUGCAUUAACACAGCGCCAAUGCCAGAAUCACUAGCAUCAGUUUCCACCACAAAGGAAGUUGAAAAAUCUGGUAAUGCGAGGACAGGAGCAGCAGCAAGGGCUUGUUUCAGUGUUUGAAAAGUCGUGGUAUGUGCAUCGGUCCAAACAAAUAAUACCCCUUUUUUAAGCAAAGCUGUCAAAGGUUGGCAAAUGACCCCAAAGUGUUUGAUAAACUUCCUAUAAUAACCGGCAAGCCCAAGAAAACUGCGCAAUUCUUUGACCGAAUUGGGCACAGGCCACUGCGUUAUAGCGUUGAUUUUCAGUGGAUCUGUGGCUACCCCCUCAGCACUGACCACAUGACCCAAAUAAGCUACCUUGCGUUGAGCAAACGAGCACUUAGAGAGUUUUACCUUCCACUGUUCACGGUCCAGAAGUUGGAAUACUUGGUGCAGGUGGUUCAAGUGGUCUUCCAUGGUAGGACUGUAAACCAAAAUGUCAUCGAAGAAAACUAAUGCACACUUGCGUAGAAGGGGAGCCAAGGUAUUGUUCAUUGCGCACUGAAAGGUGCCAGGUGCUCCAGUCAAUCCGAAGGGCAUCACUCGAAAUUCAAAGUGACCCACAUGAGUUUGGAAAGCUGUUUUAUAUUCAUCACCCUCUUUCAUCAAGAUCUGAUGGAAUCCAGCGCGAAGAUCCAAAAUAGUGAACCAAGCAGCACCAAAAUGUUCAUCUAGCAAUUCAUCAAUGAUGGGCACCGGAUAUUUAGCCUUGACCGUGAGAGCAUUAAGAUGGGACAACCGAUAAGGUCUGAUGUUUACCGGUCGAGCACCAUCCACCAAUGGAAUAGAGUGAUCACAGAAUCUGCUUGGUGGUAAGGAUGUAGGUGGAUCAAAGACGGAAGCAUAUUGCUGCAACAGUUGUAGGACUGGUGCUGGUAGGGAUAAUUCUUCCAAUGAGCACAACUGAGGCAUAUUAGACUGAUGUUCUAACACCGGGUAGACUUGGACAAUAGAUCCAGAAGGCAGUGAUGGAGGCACACCUUGCAGCACAAUAGGUCUGUCCCCGUACUGAAUUGUCAGUCAUUUAUGUUUCCAAUCAACAAACAUGGGGCUGAAUUGCUCUAACCAGUCCAUGCCCAAGAUCAUAUCAUAGAAGGGAAGUGGCACCAGCUUGAAUGUAGAGGUAAAUGUAAGUCCGUGCAUGGUCCACGAUGCAUCAGGAAGUUGAGUGUUACAAUAGAGCAGCUCGCCAUUGGCCACCUUGACUGUUAAUGCUUGUUCCAUAGCAACAACUCCUGAUAGCUUAGUACUAUAAGAAUUAUCCAGAAAACAGUGAGUACUUCCACAGUCCAAUAGAAUUAGCAUGUCAACACCUUGUAUACUGCCACGAAGCCGAAAAGCUUUAGAAUUGGCAGGAACAACUGUGGCCUCCUUAGAUAUUGCCAUGAGGAAUUGCUCAGCUGAAUCUUGAAACUCCCCAUCAGACUCAUCCUUGUCAGGUAAUACCAUAUCCCACAAUUCUUGCAUUACGUGCAACUGGACAGUAGCAGAACAUUUGUGCCCUUUAACCCACUUCUCAGCACAAAACUGACAGAGGCCGCGUGCGCGGCGAUAUGCACGAAGAGAGGCGACUUUACUCUCUGCUGAAGACGAUGAAGGAGUAGAAACUUUAGCUUGAUCUGCUCCAAUCCCCGGAGAAUUUUUGUCAGGAAAAGUGGUGGCUGAUGGGUGCUUCAUGAAUGACCGGAAAGAAUGAGAACCCUCCAAGCGUGGGUGAUCACGCCGACGCGAUGACUCCGCCUCUUCCUGCAAUAAGGCCAGAGCACAAGCAGUAUCCAGAUCGCGAGGACGUUGUACAAGAAUAACAGCUUUAAUGCCAUCACGAAGUCCAUCUAUGAAUCUCAUAGUAUAAUACAGGGG